Molecule: ribosomal RNA, 254 nt
Filed under: uncultured bacterium
Lineage: Bacteria
Description: partial 16S ribosomal RNA
Rfam family: Bacterial small subunit ribosomal RNA
Source: RNAcentral
UACGGGGGGGGGCAAGCGUUGUUCGGAAUGACUGGGCGUAAAGGGCUCGUAGGCGGCCAACUAAGUCAGACGUGAAAUCCCUCGGCUUAACCGGGGAACUGCGUCUGAUACUGGAUGGCUUGAGAUUGGGAGAGGGAUGCGGAAUUCCAGGUGUAGCGGUGAAAUGCGUAGAUAUCUGGAGGAACACCGGUGGCGAAGGCGACAUCCUGGACCAACACUGACGCUGAGGAGCGAAAGCCAGGGGAGCAAACGGG